This 253-nucleotide ribosomal RNA is filed under the name uncultured bacterium. RNAcentral's name for it is "partial 16S ribosomal RNA". It matches the Rfam family "Bacterial small subunit ribosomal RNA", at positions 524 to 776 of the family's 1533-position model. The record is from RNAcentral.
UACGGAGGGUGCAAACGUUGCUCGGAAUCAUUGGGCGUAAAGCGCACGUAGGCGGCUUGUUAAGUCGGAUGUGAAAGCCCUGGGCUCAACCCAGGAAGUGCAUUCGAAACUGGCAAGCUUGAAUAUGGAAGAGGGUCGCGGAAUUCCCGGUGUAGAGGUGAAAUUCGUAGAUAUCGGGAGGAACACCAGUGGCGAAGGCGGCGACCUGGGCCAAUAUUGACGCUGAGGUGCGAAAGCGUGGGGAGCAAACAGG